This 207-nucleotide ribosomal RNA is filed under the name uncultured bacterium. RNAcentral's name for it is "partial 16S ribosomal RNA". It matches the Rfam family "Bacterial small subunit ribosomal RNA", at positions 328 to 544 of the family's 1533-position model. The record is from RNAcentral.
ACGCUCGACACCUACGGGGCGGCAGCAGGUGGGGAAUAUUGCACAAGUGGGGGAAACCCUGAUGCAGCGACGCCGCGUGGAGGAAGAAGGUCUUCGGAUUGUAAACUCCUGUUGUUAGGGGAAAAAGAGGAUGGUACCCAACAAGGAAGUGACGGCUAACUACGUGCCAGCACGCCGACGGUAAUCUGAGGCGGGCGUGGCGAAGGC